RNAcentral lists this long non-coding RNA (435 nucleotides) under Mus pahari (shrew mouse). RNAcentral describes it as "lncRNA (MGP_PahariEiJ_G0004103.1)". The record is from RNAcentral. Lineage: Eukaryota; Metazoa; Chordata; Mammalia; Rodentia; Muridae.
AGGACAAAAUCACCAACAUCUUCAAUGGGAGAAAACCCUUUAUCGGCUGAUUCAUUUCCUUGUUUUGUUUCUGCAGGAGACGGGAUAUCCUAGAGGAUUUAAGAAUCUCGACAGAAAUCUCAGCAACAUCAGCAACAGAGUAAGGGUGCUUGAUAGCAAGAUAGCAAAAGAAAUAGUGGGUGUCUGCUCAGCACCAUGACGCUCCUAACCCCACUGGAGUGGCUUUAAAGAAAAGCUUUCAUUAACAUACUUACACAUCAGUUGACAUGUUUCUGGUGGCACAAUCAGGAUUCAAGGCAGAGCACUUAAUGCCAAAGGGUAUUUCAUUGACACUCUCACCACCAGAAUCUUCAAGGACGUCACCCCAGGCACAACAAUACUGAAGGCAAAUGAACGUUUAGAGUGUUCUGAUAAAGAACGAUGGGGUUUUUUGUU